RNAcentral lists this ribosomal RNA (263 nucleotides) under uncultured bacterium. Its description in RNAcentral is "partial 16S ribosomal RNA". It matches the Rfam family "Bacterial small subunit ribosomal RNA", at positions 95 to 354 of the family's 1533-position model. The record is from RNAcentral.
CCGGCGCACGGGUGAGUAACACGUAUGCAACCUGGCCGUCACAGGUGGAUAACCGGAAGAAAUUCCGACUAAUACAGCAUAACACUCCUGAGGGACAUCCUUCGGGAGUCAAAGGAGGCAACUCCGGUGACGGAUGGGCAUGCGGCGCAUUAGGUAGUUGGUAGGGUAACGGCCUACCAAGCCGACGAUGCGUAGGGGUUCUGAGAGGAAGGUCCCCCACACUGGUACUGAGACACGGACCAGACUCCUACGGAAGGCAGCAG